CAAACUGGAAUGUAUACCAGCCCAAAUGAAGCCCAGGGGCUACUACCAUCUCCGCUUCCUCCACCGCCCGUGAGGGCAAAGGCGGCGACAGAGUCGAGAAACCGCGCCGGCGCGUCAGCGCCAUCCACCUCCGGCGACAUCCGCGGCCUCCGGCAGAGCUCGAGGCAUCCAGAAGUCCCACCAUGAUUGUCUAAAAGGUGGAUGCCAAUCACAGCGAAUCAGAGGUGUGGUAUCAGCCAUACAAGCUUCGAGCAUUCAAAAGAGAAACUCUUCUCUAGAGCAAUCUCCUGAACAAAAUCUCAAUACUGCUGAUCAACAAUAUCGGAUUCUGUUUUCAGUUGUUGCUCCUCGUCGCAUACAACUCUUUUCUUCUGAAAUGUCUUGGGUGACAAGAGACCACUUGGUAUAACUCAGCAUCGCAAUUUGCUUCAAUAUGAGCUGUGUGGAUGAUUCAAGCGUCGAGGCAACGGGCCUUGCUUGGCAACACUUUGACCACCCUGCAGCCAAUUUUCUUUGACUGUUUUUCGGCCUUCUUUGCCAGUAGAUGAAGGCUUGUCUUUUGGCCUUAACAGUUAUAUCAUCUCCUUUCUUGAGAGCCAAUAAUUCCCGAGCUCAGAAAAACUCUUGGAUGGCGCUGCAGAUGUUAAAAGUGGAAGAGAGUGUUCGAUCUCCAUCUCCAUAACUUUCCUUCACUAUUGUUGGCAAAGGAUAAUUUGGCCGCUUGCAAACAUAGCUCCUCAAUGUUGUUGCGCAUACCUACAUACCUUCUGAACCCAUUGAGAAUCUGCAGAAGGUGACUUCACCUUCUGCAUCUCCAGAAAUUUUGUUGUUGUUGGUUUCGCUGGAGCAGGAGCUAGAAGGCGCACACACAGAUUUGAGAUGACUAGCCAUGGCUGGAACGGGAGAUGGAGUCCUUUCUAUGUAUCUGGAAAUGGGAGAGAGAGAUUCGGAGAAAAGAAACUGCUGCAAUGGUGCUCGACCGGUAUGGUUUACCUCCCUAUAUAAGCAGAAGCCAUGCAGUGGCUGACCCUGCAGUCUGCGGACAGCAAGAAUCUCAUCCUUGAUGGGUUGUAGUGCUUCUGGAGUAAAAGCCACCCAUCUGGACGACAAGCUGAUGCUUUUUUAUGUUUCAUGAUCAGUGCAACUAGCAUCCCUAACAGUCUGUGUUUGAGCUUUUGAUCACCCUGUCAUGUCUCUACUAUGGGUGGCAGAGUCAUCUGCACGAGCGUGUAGUCUAUUGUCAGAUCCAGAUUGAGAUCAUGAGAUUGGCGAGUGGGGAGGGAGAUGUUGAGAGAAAGAGCUGGCGAUGAUCGGUGGUGGAGGAACAGUUGACUUCUGGGCUCGGGCACAACACAGGUGAUUGCCUAUUUGGUUGCGGGUUCUAUGAAGUAUGGAGAAAACAGGAAAUGGGCAUGUGUAAAAUACUUAGAUUGACACAAGGGAUCCUCUUAAAGGUGAACACGAUUCACAGGGAGUCAGAUUUGAUGCAUCGUUUCGCUGCAUGGUAAGAGUGCUCAGAAGAGUGACCCUGCUCUGGAUCAAUCUCCUGAAGAGAAGCUGAACUCUACUCUCAAGAUCAACAAUGUACAACUCCAACACCUGUGAAUUAGAGCCGGCAAUGCGUCAAUAAUUGUGAAUGGGAGCCGAUGAGGCUGACAUGUCUCUCACCUCAGUUGCUGCUAGCAGCGACAUCUGGAGCUGUGCACGAGCACAUACCUAUACUUCAAUGUGAGGAGACCAAGAGAUCUUCAAGUAUGCAAAUGAAAUGAUCUGGUGGUCCAUGUUGGUUGGUGAUUGCUGGUGGAAGCAACAGUUUACUCUCUUCGCCUACAGGUGCUGCAUCGUUGAAUGCGGUGCUAUAGUGGUAUCUUUUUUUUUUUUUUUUUUUUUUUUUUGCUUAGAAAGUAAAGAUGCAUGUAGAAACACGCACUUUUAUUCCGUCCAAAUGAAGGAAUGCACAAACUCAUUCUCUUGCAGCGCCACAGUGUUGCUGAAAGAUGGGGAGAAACAUAUCUGUGAAAA
Non-coding RNA from Lolium perenne, 2022 nucleotides. NCBI's taxonomy places the organism in Eukaryota, Viridiplantae, Streptophyta, Magnoliopsida, Poales, Poaceae. The record is from RefSeq and is a predicted model, not a curated record.